RNAcentral lists this unclassified non-coding RNA (336 nucleotides) under soil metagenome. RNAcentral describes it as "partial contains 5.8S ribosomal RNA, internal transcribed spacer 2, and large subunit ribosomal RNA". The stretch from base 1 to 120 matches the Rfam family "5.8S ribosomal RNA", at positions 35 to 154 of the family's 154-position model. The record is from RNAcentral.
GAUGAAGAACGUAGCGAAAUGCGAUAAGUAAUGUGAAUUGCAGAAUUCAGUGGAUCAUCGAAUCUUUGAACGCACAUUGCGCCCGCCAGUAUUCUGGCGGGCAUGCCUGUUCGAGCGUCAUUUCAACCAUCAAGCCCCCGGCUUGUGUUGGGGACCUGCGGCUGCCGCAGGCCCUGAAAAGCAGUGGCGGGCUCGCUGUCACACCGAGCGUAGUAGCAUACAUCUCGCUCUGGGCGUGCUGCGGGUUCCGGCCGUUAAACCACCUUCAUAACCCAAGGUUGACCUCGGAUCAGGUAGGAAGACCCGCUGAACUUAAGCAUAUCAAUAAGCGGAGGA